Long non-coding RNA from Haemorhous mexicanus (house finch), 1963 nucleotides. RefSeq lists it as uncharacterized. The record is from RefSeq and is a predicted model, not a curated record. NCBI's taxonomy places the organism in Eukaryota, Metazoa, Chordata, Aves, Passeriformes, Fringillidae. The transcript is spliced from 6 exons.
CGCAGCCCGCCUCCGCCUCUCCCCGUGGCACCAGCGGCAGCGCCCGCGGAGCCGCUCGAGUGGGGUGAACGGGGGGGACCGGACGGGCGGGCGACUCAUUCCGUUUGGGUCAUUCCGGAUCGGCGGCGGCACCCGAAGCUCGGCGAGCCGGCGGCGGAGUUGGGAGGCGGCUCCAGGCCAGAGUGCCAUCAGCGCCGGUGUAAAGCUGUUCCCGAGGCCGAGCUCCCAAAGGCUUUGCCAGCACUCCGGAUGUCUCGGGAACCAGGUGCUGUUUGUUCCAGGCAGAGAGAUGGCGCCUGUGAGCUGGAGGAGAGUAAAUCCUGUCCCAUUCCUGGAGCUGUGAAUGAGCCCCAGCAUCCCCAGGAGGGACCAGCAGCCGGGCUUCCACACUUGUCUGGGGUGCAAGAAGCCUCUUGGCAUCAGUAGGGGGAUGCCACUUGUGAGCGUGCAGUGAGUGCAGAUGUGGAGAAUGGAUCCUGCACCAGGGAUAGGAGUGUGAGGGAGCCCCUGAGUCCCCAGGGCACAUCAGCAGCCAAUAAAGAAGACAAAAGGAACCUCAGAAGAUUGCUGGGUCAGUGGUUCAGGCCCCAUCCCGUGGUCACGGCGCUGCUGAUUCUGCUGCUCCUGGUGCUGGUGCUGGCUUUGGGGGUGGCCUUGGCUGUGCAGUCAGCUGCAACACAGGUUCCAUUUACACCUGUGACUCUGCAGUGCUGUCCCUUUGGCUGGCUUGGGUACAAUGGGGUCUGCUACACCUUCUCAAGGGAUUACAGCACCUGGGAGCAGGGUCAGGAACGGUGCUCUGAGCUCGGGGCCUCCCUGGCCAUUCUGAAGGAUGAGGCCAUGGAUUUGCUCUUCCGCCUCCGCGGGAACGGCGAUUUCUGGCUCGGGCUGCGCAGACGGGGCGAGCGCCUGCAGUGGGAGGACGGCAGCAGCUACAGCUCCCGGGGAAUCCAGUGGAGAAGAAACCUGCUGCUCUAGGAAUCCAGUUGAAAAGGCUGCUGUGAUGUUCCAAACCUCAGAUUGUAUCCACGUAGGAAUUCUCGGCUUUCCCACCUGGGUGGAGCAUCUCACAAUGGGAUGAUGAAAUUUUUUCAGCCAUGCAGAGACAUUCACUUGCCCAUUAACAGCAUAUAUCUCCUGGAGGAAGGAUUGAUUGCUGAGGAGAUAAAGAAAACUGCUCAGUUAACAGAAGAUAACUGCUCCUCCUCUAACAGAUGGGACUAGAAUACCCCUAUUUCCAACCUAAGGCACCAGGCAGCCAGCGCUGGCUCUGCUCUUCCCUGCAGGUUUCCUGUCUUUGGCAGUUCCGAGUGUGUGUACCUGGCUGACGAGAGACUGAGGAGUGACAACUGCUCAAGUGAGCGGCCGUAUGUCUGCAGCAAGGCCCAAGGUCCCCUGUAACAGGGGCUGCAGAAAGGACCUUCUCCACGCUGGGCAGUGCCAGCUUCACCUCUGAGCCCAGCACUGGGCUGCCCUUCCUCAGCUGCACCCUGUGCCUUGCACUUCCUCUCAGGGUCACCUCAGUGCCUCUUCAUCCCCAGUGCCAGCGCUGGGCUGGGGCUGCAAAGGAAAAGUCUCUGCAAUCCAUCCUGCCACCGAUGCUGCCUGGAGUGAGGGCAUUGCCCUCAUUAUAUGUGAGAAACACCGCUCACUAUUUACACUUUUGAUAAAAGUUUAUUAAGGGCUAAAAUCCCACUCUGGGAUUCUUGGCUAUUUGCACAGGGUUACCUUAGACUCUGUUCUCUAUAUACUGUUACAUUGUAGAGCUACAUGCAUAUUUAUAUGAGUUUUUAAAAUUUUAAAGGUAACACUGAAUUUACAUCUUGUUUUGUUUAACUUUUUGCUUGUCUUCAGGCCAUCCUGUACCUUAAACUAAUGUAUUUAAUGUUUUCUUGUGGUUCUAUAUUUUUGUAUUUUCAUCCCCCUGUAGUGAGGCUCAAUAAAGUCUUUUUUUUUUUCCCCA